GACGAACGCUGGCGGCGUGCUUAACACAUGCAAGUCGAACGGAAAGGCCCUGCUUUUGUGGGGUGCUCGAGUGGCGAACGGGUGAGUAACACGUGAGUAACCUGCCCUUGACUUUGGGAUAACUUCAGGAAACUGGGGCUAAUACCGGAUAGGAGCUCCUGCUGCAUGGUGGGGGUUGGAAAGUUUCGGCGGUGGGGGAUGGACUCGCGGCUUAUCAGCUUGUUGGUGGGGUAGUGGCUUACCAAGGCUUUGACGGGUAGCCGGCCUGAGAGGGUGACCGGCCACAUUGGGACUGCGAUACGGCCCAGACUCCUACGGGAGGCAGCAGUGGGGAAUAUUGCACAAUGGGCGGAAGCCUGAUGCAGCAACGCCGCGUGCGGGAUGACGGCCUUCGGGUUGUAAACCGCUUUCGCCUGUGACGAAGCGUGAGUGACGGUAAUGGGUAAAGAAGCACCGGCUAACUACGUG
Molecule: ribosomal RNA, 468 nt
Filed under: uncultured bacterium
Lineage: Bacteria
Description: partial 16S ribosomal RNA
Rfam family: Bacterial small subunit ribosomal RNA
Source: RNAcentral